This 85-nucleotide transfer RNA is filed under the name Bacteroidota bacterium. Its description in RNAcentral is "Bacteroidetes bacterium (freshwater metagenome) tRNA-Ser". It matches the Rfam family "tRNA". From Rfam's summary of the family: Transfer RNA (tRNA) molecules are approximately 80 nucleotides in length. Their secondary structure includes four short double-helical elements and three loops (D, anti-codon, and T loops). Further hydrogen bonds mediate the characteristic L-shaped molecular structure. tRNAs have two regions of fundamental functional importance: the anti-codon, which is responsible for specific mRNA codon recognition, and the 3' end, to which the tRNAs corresponding amino acid is attached (by aminoacyl-tRNA synthetases). tRNAs cope with the degeneracy of the genetic code in two manners: having more than one tRNA (with a specific anti-codon) for a particular amino acid; and 'wobble' base-pairing, i.e. permitting non-standard base-pairing at the 3rd anti-codon position. The record is from RNAcentral. Lineage: Bacteria; Pseudomonadati; Bacteroidota. RNAcentral also lists the same sequence under 1 other name.
GGAGAGGUGUCAGAGAGGUCGAAUGUGCCUGAUUCGAAAUCAGGUGUACCGCAAGGUACCGGGGGUUCGAAUCCCUCCCUCUCCG